This 95-nucleotide non-coding RNA is filed under the name uncultured Ruminococcus sp. RNAcentral's name for it is "THF riboswitch". It matches the Rfam family "THF (Tetrahydrofolate) riboswitch aptamer". Rfam says of the family: THF riboswitch presents a pseudoknot that joins P1-P2 and the loop of P3 and two THF binding. Lineage: Bacteria; Bacillati; Bacillota; Clostridia; Eubacteriales; Oscillospiraceae. The record is from RNAcentral.
CAGAGUAGAAUUUUGUGCGUAAAGUGUCCUUUGAACGGGGAGUUGUCAAGGGAACGAAAGGCGUAGCCUGCGGUACAAAAUUUGCAUCCCGCUGU